AAGAAUAUAGUUUAUAUAAAAACAUUUUGCUUACACCAAAAAGAAUAGUUUAUUCUUA
Molecule: transfer RNA, 58 nt
Filed under: Docophoroides brevis
Lineage: Eukaryota; Metazoa; Arthropoda; Insecta; Psocodea; Philopteridae
Description: tRNA-Val
Source: RNAcentral